RNAcentral lists this ribosomal RNA (595 nucleotides) under Cryptococcus sp. DBVPG 5431. RNAcentral describes it as "eukaryotic LSU rRNA". It matches the Rfam family "Eukaryotic large subunit ribosomal RNA", at positions 86 to 667 of the family's 3401-position model. Lineage: Eukaryota; Fungi; Basidiomycota; Tremellomycetes; Tremellales; Cryptococcaceae. The record is from RNAcentral.
ACGGCGAGUGAAGCGGGAAGAGCUCAAAUUUGAAAUCUGGUGGCCUCAGGUCAUCCGAGUUGUAAUCUAUAGAAGUGUUUUCCGUGCUGGCUCAUGUACAAGUCCCUUGGAACAGGGCGUCAUAGAGGGUGAGAAUCCCGUCCUUGACAUGAACUACCAGUGCUCUGUGAUACAUUUUCAACGAGUCGAGUUGUUUGGGAAUGCAGCUCAAAAUGGGUGGUAAAUUCCAUCUAAAGCUAAAUAUUGGCGAGAGACCGAUAGCGAACAAGUACCGUGAGGGAAAGAUGAAAAGCACUUUGGAAAGAGAGUUAAACAGUAUGUGAAAUUGUUGAAAGGGAAACGAUUGAAGUCAGUCGUGCUCUUUGGAUUCAGCCGGUUCUGCCGGUGUACUUCCUUUGAGUGGGGUCAACAUCAGUUUUGAUCGCUGGAUAAAGGCGGGAGGAAUGUAGUACCCCCGGGUAAACUUAUAGCCUCUUGUCACAUACAGUGGUUGGGACUGAGGAACGCAGCAUGCCUUUAAGGCCGGGAUUCGUCCACGUACAUGCUUAGGAUGUUGACAUAAUGGCUUUAAACGACCCGUCUUGAAACACGGACC